This 497-nucleotide ribosomal RNA is filed under the name uncultured bacterium. Its description in RNAcentral is "partial 16S ribosomal RNA". It matches the Rfam family "Bacterial small subunit ribosomal RNA", at positions 28 to 507 of the family's 1533-position model. The record is from RNAcentral.
GACGAACGCUGGCGGCGUGCCUAAUACAUGCAAGUUGAGCGAUGAAGAUUGGUGCUUGCACCAAUUUGAAGAGCAGCGAACGGGUGAGUAACGCGUGGGGAAUCUGCCUUUGAGCGGGGGACAACAUUUGGAAACGAAUGCUAAUACCGCAUAACAACUUUAAACAUAAGUUUUAAGUUUGAAAGAUGCAAUUGCAUCACUCAAAGAUGAUCCCGCGUUGUAUUAGCUAGUUGGUGAGGUAAAGGCUCACCAAGGCGAUGAUACAUAGCCGACCUGAGAGGGUGGUCGGCCACAGUGGGACUGGGACACGGCCCAAACUCCUACGGGAGGCAGCAGUAGGGAAUCUUCGGCAAUGGACGAAAGUCUGACCGAGCAACGCCGCGUGAGUGAAGAAGGUUUUCGGAUCGUAAAACUCUGUUGGUAGAGAAGAACGUUGGUGAGAGUGGAAAGCUCAUCAAGUGACGGUAACUACCCAGAAAGGGACGGCUAACUACGUG